CACCAAGACAGAAUGGUUCAUUCCUGGUUCUGUGUUCUACUCUUACUGAAUACCCUCAUCUACUGUGGUCACUCUCAAGAUCUGCCCAGGGCCUCAGUGAAGAUAGUCUCUCCUCAGGAGCCACUGUACACAGGAGACAGAAUCACUCUACAGUGUUA
Molecule: long non-coding RNA, 158 nt
Organism: Esox lucius (northern pike)
Lineage: Eukaryota; Metazoa; Chordata; Actinopteri; Esociformes; Esocidae
Exons: 3
Source: RefSeq, a predicted model, not a curated record